This 486-nucleotide ribosomal RNA is filed under the name uncultured bacterium. RNAcentral describes it as "partial 16S ribosomal RNA". It matches the Rfam family "Bacterial small subunit ribosomal RNA", at positions 30 to 507 of the family's 1533-position model. The record is from RNAcentral.
AUUGAACGCUGGCGGCAUGCCUUACACAUGCAAGUCGAACGGCAGCACGGGUGCUUGCACCUGGUGGCGAGUGGCGAACGGGUGAGUAAUACAUCGGAACAUGUCCUGUAGUGGGGGAUAGCCCGGCGAAAGCCGGAUUAAUACCGCAUACGAUCUACGGAUGAAAGCGGGGGACCUUCGGGCCUCGCGCUAUAGGGUUGGCCGAUGGCUGAUUAGCUAGUUGGUGGGGUAAAGGCCUACCAAGGCGACGAUCAGUAGCUGGUCUGAUAGGACGACCAGCCACACUGGGACUGAGACACGGCCCAGACUCCUACGGGAGGCAGCAGUGGGGAAUUUUGGACAAUGGGCGAAAGCCUGAUCCAGCAAUGCCGCGUGUGUGAAGAAGGCCUUCGGGUUGUAAAGCACUUUUGUCCGGAAAGAAAUCCUUGGCUCUAAUACAGUCGGGGGAUGACGGUACCGGAAGAAUAAGCACCGGCUAACUACGUG